CGGGGACGUCUCUGGGCUGUCCCCUGCUAGGGCAGCCCUGCCUGCCACCAGCCCUGCCUGCCACCAGCCGCAAGCCACUCGGAGCUUUCCUGACCCUGACCCCAGCUCGCGAUGAGGUUGUCCGCAUGAUUGCUGCUGUUGCGCAGCUUUGGUCCUGAGCUCUUGCUUUAGUGCAAGGAUUGCAAGCAAAGGCACUUCAGCAGAGAGGUAAAUGCUUUGCAGUGCUGGUUUCUCGGACAACCCCGAAAUGAGCUGACGGGCACGGCGCAGGCUGGGCUGGCUGCCUGGGAGGCAGAGUGCAGGAGAGCCUCGGAGAGCGGCGUGGAGGAAGAGGAGGAGGAGAAGGAUGCCAGGAGAAAGAGGACGGGACCAGGGGCACGUAUGCUACCAGCUGGACACGCUGCAUCCCGCGGGCUGUGUUUGCAGAAACGCUCUGAUCUCUCGUUUUUAAGCCCCACGUUUCAAUCCCCCUCGGAGCGAAGGUAAA
Long non-coding RNA from Cygnus olor (mute swan), 487 nucleotides. RefSeq lists it as uncharacterized. Lineage: Eukaryota; Metazoa; Chordata; Aves; Anseriformes; Anatidae. The record is from RefSeq and is a predicted model, not a curated record. The transcript has 4 exons.